AUUGAACGCUGGCGGCAUGCUUUACACAUGCAAGUCGAACGGUAACAGGCCGCCAGGUGCUGACGAGUGGCGAACGGGUGAGUAAUGCAUCGGAACGUGCCCAGUCGUGGGGGAUAACUACUCGAAAGAGUAGCUAAUACCGCAUACGAUCUAUGGAUGAAAGCGGGGGACCGUAAGGCCUCGCGCGAUUGGAGCGGCCGAUGUCAGAUUAGGUAGUUGGUGGGGUAAAGGCUCACCAAGCCCACGAUCUGUAGCUGGUCUGAGAGGACGACCAGCCACACUGGGACUGAGACACGGCCCAGACUCCUACGGGAGGCAGCAGUGGGGAAUUUUGGACAAUGGGCGCAAGCCUGAUCCAGCAAUGCCGCGUGCAGGAAGAAGGCCUUCGGGUUGUAAACUGCUUUUGUACGGAACGAAACGGCUCUGGUUAAUACCCGGGGCUAAUGACGGUACCGUAAGAAUAAGCACCGGCUAACUACGUG
Molecule: ribosomal RNA, 482 nt
Filed under: uncultured bacterium
Lineage: Bacteria
Description: partial 16S ribosomal RNA
Rfam family: Bacterial small subunit ribosomal RNA
Source: RNAcentral